UCAAAGGCCUUGUUCAAGGCCACCCCAAACUAGAAUGAACUGGAACU
Molecule: non-coding RNA, 47 nt
Organism: Neotoma lepida (desert woodrat)
Lineage: Eukaryota; Metazoa; Chordata; Mammalia; Rodentia; Cricetidae
Source: Rfam